Molecule: small nuclear RNA, 132 nt
Organism: Trifolium pratense (red clover)
Lineage: Eukaryota; Viridiplantae; Streptophyta; Magnoliopsida; Fabales; Fabaceae
Product: U11 spliceosomal RNA
Exons: 1
Source: RefSeq, a predicted model, not a curated record
AAAAAGGAUCAGUUUGCUAAUUAUGUCACGCUCAUCCUUGUUGGUGAGUGCUGUAUGGCUAUCAAGACAUUUGACUGAUAUAAUUUUUGUGAAAUUAUAGGGUUGGCUCAGGCUCGCCAAACUGACCCUAAA